This 301-nucleotide ribosomal RNA is filed under the name uncultured bacterium. RNAcentral's name for it is "partial 16S ribosomal RNA". It matches the Rfam family "Bacterial small subunit ribosomal RNA", at positions 509 to 807 of the family's 1533-position model. The record is from RNAcentral.
CAGUAGCCGCGGGAACACGUAGGGUGCGAGCGUUAAUCGGAAUUACUGGGCGUAAAGCGUGCGCAGGCGGUUGUGUAAGACAGGUGUGAAAUCCCCGGGCUUAACCUGGGAACUGCGCUUGUGACUGCACAGCUAGAGUAUGGCAGAGGGGGGUGGAAUUCCACGUGUAGCAGUGAAAUGCGUAGAGAUGUGGAGGAACACCGAUGGCGAAGGCAGCCCCCUGGGCCAAUACUGACGCUCAUGCACGAAAGCGUGGGGAGCAAACAGGAUUAGAUACCCCUGUAGUCCCUGUCUCUUAUAC